AGUGAACGCUGGCGGUAGGCCUAACACAUGCAAGUCGAACGGCAGCACAGUAAGAGCUUGCUCUUACGGGUGGCGAGUGGCGGACGGGUGAGGAAUACAUCGGAAUCUACUUUUUCGUGGGGGAUAACGUAGGGAAACUUACGCUAAUACCGCAUACGACCUACGGGUGAAAGCAGGGGAUCUUCGGACCUUGCGCGAUUGAAUGAGCCGAUGUCGGAUUAGCUAGUUGGCGGGGUAAAGGCCCACCAAGGCGACGAUCCGUAGCUGGUCUGAGAGGAUGAUCACCCACACUGGAACUGAGACACGGUCCCGACUCCUACGGGAGGCAGCGGUGGGGAAUAUUGCACAAUGGGCGCAAGCCUGAUCCAGCCAUACCGCGUGGGUGAAGAAGGCCUUCGGGUUGUAAAGCCCUUUUGUUGGGAAAGAAAAGCAGCAGGUUAAUACCCCGCUGUUCUGACGGUACCCAAAGAAUAAGCACCGGCUAACUUCGUG
Molecule: ribosomal RNA, 492 nt
Filed under: uncultured bacterium
Lineage: Bacteria
Description: partial 16S ribosomal RNA
Rfam family: Bacterial small subunit ribosomal RNA
Source: RNAcentral